Molecule: RNase P RNA, 358 nt
Filed under: Halobacteriales archaeon QS_4_62_28
Lineage: Archaea; Methanobacteriati; Methanobacteriota; Halobacteria; Halobacteriales
Description: RNase P RNA component
Rfam family: Archaeal RNase P
About the family: Ribonuclease P (RNase P) is a ubiquitous endoribonuclease, found in archaea, bacteria and eukarya as well as chloroplasts and mitochondria. Its best characterised activity is the generation of mature 5'-ends of tRNAs by cleaving the 5'-leader elements of precursor-tRNAs.
Source: RNAcentral
GGCAGAGGGAGUCCGGCUUCCGUGAGGGCCACCCGGCCCGCAUGAGGAAAGUCCCCCCACCUGCUGGGCGGGUGACCGGGCGCAAGCCCGGGGCGGGAGACCGUCGGCGCUGGAACAGAAACGAGACCCCUCCACCCGACCGAUGAGGCGCGCGAACCCGGACCGACAAGGGACGGGGAGUUGACCCGCCGAGGGUCGUUCGGCCCACACGGGCCCGACGGUGGAGAACGGAUGGAACGGCGAAUCCUCACCGGUGCAAGUCCGUGCCGACAGGUAGCCCGGCACUGCGCGAUUGCGCUGGGCACGGACGCUGAGCCGAAUGCUGGAUCGAACAGAAGGGGGCUUACUCCCCUCAGCC